GAAUAUUGGACAAUGGGCGAAAGCCUGAUCCAGCAAUGCCGCGUGAGUGAUGAAGGCCUUAGGGUUGUAAAGCCCUUUUGUUGGGAAAGAAAAGCUUCCGGCCAAUACCCGGGAGUCAUGACGGUACCCAAAGAAUAAGCACCGGCUAACUUCGUGCCAGCAGCCGCGGUAAUACGAAGGGUGCAAGCGUUACUCGGAAUUACUGGGCGUAAAGCGUGCGUAGGUGGUUCGUUAAGUCUGAUGUGAAAGCCCUGGGCUCAACCUGGGAAUGGCAUUGGAUACUGGCGACCUAGAGUGCGGUAGAGGGGUGUGGAAUUCCCGGUGUAGCAGUGAAAUGCGUAGAUAUCGGGAGGAACAUCUGUGGCGAAGGCGACACCCUGGACCAGCACUGACACUGAGGCACGAAAGCGUGGGGAGCAAAC
Molecule: ribosomal RNA, 422 nt
Filed under: uncultured bacterium
Lineage: Bacteria
Description: bacterial SSU rRNA
Rfam family: Bacterial small subunit ribosomal RNA
Source: RNAcentral